RNAcentral lists this ribosomal RNA (1948 nucleotides) under Myxobolus samsunensis. RNAcentral's name for it is "SSU rRNA". It matches the Rfam family "Eukaryotic small subunit ribosomal RNA". Lineage: Eukaryota; Metazoa; Cnidaria; Myxozoa; Bivalvulida; Myxobolidae. The record is from RNAcentral.
GUAUGUGCCAAGUUCAAACGUUAUACGUGAGACUGCGGACGGCUCAGUAAAUCAGUGAUAAUCUGUUUGAUUUUCUCUCCCCAUUGGAUAACCGUGGGAAAUCUAGAGCUAAUACGUGCGGUACAUUGGCGUGCUCUCGGGUACGUCAAAGCAUUUAUUAGACUAAACCAACUACUAUGCUCACGCAUAGUAAGGGGAAUCUGGAUAACUUUGCUGAUCGUAUGGCCUAGCGCCGGCGACGUUUCAAUUGAGUUUCUGCCCUAUCAACUUGUUGGUAAGGUAUUGGCUUACCAAGGUUGCAACGGGUAACGGGGAAUCAGGGUUCGAUUCCGGAGAGGGAGCCUGAGAAACGGCUGCCACAUCCAAGGAAGGCAACAGGCGCGCAAAUUACCCAAUCUAGACAGUAGGAGGUGGUGAAGAGAAUUACUAAAUGGUGGUCCUAUGGAUCACUUGUUUGGAAUGAACGUAACUUAAGAAAUUCGAUGAUAAACAACUGGAGGGCAAGUCCUGGUGCCAGCAGCCGCGGUAAUUCCAGCUCCAGUAGUUUGCUUUAAAGUUGUUGCGUUUAAAACGCUCGUAGUUGGAUCACGCAGUAAUGCUCAGUAAUCUUUUGUGUCGCUAGCCCGUGGUUCGUUUCUAACGGCCAUAGUGGUCAGCGUGCAUUAGAUAUUACGCUGGGCGUUACUAGUUGCACGUGAGAUAGAUUGUUGGCCUUGAAUGCGCCGAUAUUCUCGUCUUGCGGGGUGUGCCUUGAAUAAAACAGAGUGCUCAAAGCAGGUUAUUGCCUGAAUGUUAAAGCAUGGAACGAACAAUCGUGUAUAUGUGCGUGCUGUUAAUUGGUUGUGAGCCUAUGGUUUGCAGUCGUUGGCGGCGCGCACGGCACCCACCAAAAUAUGGCUGUUGGUUCCAUAUCCGGUGAUGAUUAACAGGAGCGGUUGGGGGCAUCAGUAUUUGGCCGCGAGAGGUGAAAUUCUUAGACCGGCCAAGGACUAACAAAUGCAAAGGCACUUGUCUAGACCGUUUCCAUUAAUCAAGAACGAAAGUGGGAGGUUCGAAGACGAUCAGAUACCGUCGUAGUUCCCACCGUAAACUAUGCCGACCUGGGAUCAGUCUAGAGAUGUUACAAGCUCUAGGUUGGUCCCCCUGGGAAACCUCAAGUUUUUCGGUUACGGGGAGAGUAUGGUCGCAAGGCUGAAACUUAAAGGAAUUGACGGAAGGGCACCACCAGGGGUGGAGCCUGCGGCUUAAUUUGACUCAACACGGGGAAACUUACCUGGUCCGGACAUCGAUAGGAUUAUCAGACUAAUGGCUCUUAUAUGAUCCGAUGAGUGGUGGUGCAUGGCCGUUCUUAGUUCGUGGAGUGAUCUGUCAGCUUAAUUGCGGUAACGAACGAGACCACAGUCACCAUUUAAAAAAUAGAAGAAGGCACGCGGAAGGUUGGCGCAAGUCGGUCGGCUGCGUGCUGCAGGUAGAAUGUGGUGCUGGGAUGAUUGGCGUGAUGGGGUAACUUGUUGCGUUUGUUACCUAGCGCUGCAUUUCUCCCUUCUAUUACGCGGCAGUUGGUCUCGGCUGGCUGUCGCCUUAUGGUGAGACAACGAGGUAUAAACAAGCUCGAGGAAGAGUGGCUAUAACAGGUCAGUGAUGCCCUUCGAUGUUCAGGGCUGCACGCGCGCUACCAAUGAUAACGACAACGAGUGUCUGCGUCGAAAGACGUGGGUAAUCUUUAAGCGUUAUCGUGAUGGGGAUUGACCGUUGCAAUUGUCGGUCAUGAAAGAGGAAUCCCUAGUAUGCGCAUUUUAUUAGAAUGUGCAGAUUGAGUCCCUGCCCUUUGUACACACCGCCCGUCACUACUACCGAGUGAAUGGUGUCAUGAUGCGCUGGGACUGGACGUUAGAUGGGUUUCACGACUCGUCCGAUGCUGGGAUCAGCGUAAAAUGGCGCAAUCGAG